UACAGAGGGUGCGAGCGUUAAUCGGAAUUACUGGGCGUAAAGCGCGCGUAGGCGGCUUUGCAAGUCGGGUGUGAAAUCCCCAGGCUUAACCUGGGAACUGCAUUCGAGACUGCAUUGCUAGAGUAUGGGAGAGGGAAGUGGAAUUUCCGGUGUAGCGGUGAAAUGCGUAGAUAUCGGAAGGAACAUCAGUGGCGAAAGCGACUUCCUGGACCAAUACUGACGCUCAUGUGCGAAAGCGUGGGGAGCAAAUAGG
Molecule: ribosomal RNA, 253 nt
Filed under: uncultured bacterium
Lineage: Bacteria
Description: partial 16S ribosomal RNA
Rfam family: Bacterial small subunit ribosomal RNA
Source: RNAcentral